GUGGAUUAGAUACCCUGGUAGUCCACGCCGUAAACGUUGGGAACUAGGUGUGGGUCUCAUUCCACGAGAUCCGUGCCGCAGCUAACGCAUUAAGUUCCCCGCCUGGGGAGUACGGCCGCAAGGCUAAAACUCAAAGGAAUUGACGGGGGCCCGCACAAGCGGCGGAGCAUGUGGAUUAAUUCGAUGCAACGCGAAGAACCUUACCAAGGCUUGACAUACACCGGAAACAUUCAGAGAUGGGUGCCCCGUAAGGUCGGUGUACAGGUGGUGCACGGUUGUCGACAGCU
Molecule: ribosomal RNA, 287 nt
Filed under: uncultured bacterium
Lineage: Bacteria
Description: partial 16S ribosomal RNA
Rfam family: Bacterial small subunit ribosomal RNA
Source: RNAcentral